GCAGAUGGCUGGAUGGUCGCCGCUCUAGAGAAGAGGGGAGGAAAGUCCGGGCUUUAUGGAAACACGGUGCCAGUUAAUGGCUGGCGAGGGUGACCUCAGGGAAAGUGCCACAGAAAGCAAACCGCCAGCUAUAGGCUGGUAAGGAUGAAAGGGUGCGGUAAGAGCGCACCGCGUCGCUGGUAACAGGGAUGGCAGGGUAAACCCCACCGAAAGCAAAACCAAUAGGGAUGGUUGCCUUUAAUGGCAGGCGGGUUUCCACGCUAUCGUCCGGGUAGGUUGCUUGAGUUUGCUGGCGACAGCAAAUCUAGAUGAAUGAUCAUCGAAAUGUUGAAAUGGAAACAUGGAACAGGACCCGGCUUAUAGGCCAUCUGCCCUA
This 376-nucleotide RNase P RNA is filed under the name Kordiimonas sp. SCSIO 12610. RNAcentral describes it as "RNase P RNA component class A". It matches the Rfam family "Bacterial RNase P class A". From Rfam's summary of the family: Ribonuclease P (RNase P) is a ubiquitous endoribonuclease, found in archaea, bacteria and eukarya as well as chloroplasts and mitochondria. Its best characterised activity is the generation of mature 5'-ends of tRNAs by cleaving the 5'-leader elements of precursor-tRNAs. Cellular RNase Ps are ribonucleoproteins. Lineage: Bacteria; Pseudomonadati; Pseudomonadota; Alphaproteobacteria; Kordiimonadales; Kordiimonadaceae. The record is from RNAcentral.